Molecule: transfer RNA, 65 nt
Filed under: Viana regina
Lineage: Eukaryota; Metazoa; Mollusca; Gastropoda; Cycloneritida; Helicinidae
Description: tRNA-Met
Source: RNAcentral
GACAUGGUAAGCUAAGUUAAGCUAGUGGGCUCAUGACCCGAAAAUGAUUAGAAUAUCUAUUGUCU